Molecule: ribosomal RNA, 275 nt
Filed under: uncultured bacterium
Lineage: Bacteria
Description: partial 16S ribosomal RNA
Rfam family: Bacterial small subunit ribosomal RNA
Source: RNAcentral
CCUACGGGGGGCUGCAGUGGGGAAUAUUGGGCAAUGGGCGCAAGCCUGACCCAGCAACGCCGCGUGAGGGAAGAAGGCUUUCGGGUUGUAAACCUCUGUCCUUGGUGACGAAACAAAUGACGGUAGCCAAGGAGGAAGCCCCGGCUAACUACGUGCCAGCAGCCGCGGUAAUACGUAGGGGGCGAGCGUUGUCCGGAAUUACUGGGCGUAAAGGGUGCGUAGGUGGCCUUUUAAGUUGGAUGUGAAAUACCCGGGCUUAACUUGGGGGGUGCAUC